This 433-nucleotide ribosomal RNA is filed under the name uncultured bacterium. RNAcentral describes it as "partial 16S ribosomal RNA". It matches the Rfam family "Bacterial small subunit ribosomal RNA", at positions 29 to 507 of the family's 1533-position model. The record is from RNAcentral.
AACGAACGCUGGCGGCAUGCCUAACACAUGCAAGUCGAACGAGACCUUCGGGUCUAGUGGCGCACGGGUGCGUAACGCGUGGGAACCUGCCCUUAGGUUCGGAAUAACUCCCCGAAAGGGGUGCUAAUACCGGAUAAUCUCUUCGGACCAAAGAUUUAUCGCCUUUGGAUGGGCCCGCGUUGGAUUAGCUAGUUGGUAGGGUAAAAGCCUACCAAGGCGACGAUCCAUAGCUGGUCUGAGAGGAUGAUCAGCCACACUGGGACUGAGACACGGCCCAGACUCCUACGGGAGGCAGCAGUGGGGAAUAUUGGACAAUGGGCGAAAGCCUGAUACAGCAAUGCCGCGUGAGUGAUGAAGGCCUUAGGGUUGUAAAGCUCUUUUACCCGGGAUGAUAAUGACAGUACCGGGAGAAUAAGCACCGGCUAACUCCGUG